Molecule: ribosomal RNA, 505 nt
Filed under: uncultured bacterium
Lineage: Bacteria
Description: partial 16S ribosomal RNA
Rfam family: Bacterial small subunit ribosomal RNA
Source: RNAcentral
GACGAACGCUGGCGGCGUGCCUAAUACAUGCAAGUAGAACGCACAGUUUAUACCGUAGCUUGCUACACCAUAGACUGUGAGUUGCGAACGGGUGAGUAACGCGUAGGUAACCUGCCUGGUAGCGGGGGAUAACUAUUGGAAACGAUAGCUAAUACCGCAUAAUAUUGAUUAUUGCAUGAUAAUUAAUUGAAAGGUGCAAUUGCACCACUACCAGAUGGACCUGCGUUGUAUUAGCUAGUAGGUGAGGUAACGGCUCACCUAGGCGACGAUACAUAGCCGACCUGAGAGGGUGAUCGGCCACACUGGGACUGAGACACGGCCCAGACUCCUACGGGAGGCAGCAGUAGGGAAUCUUAGGCAAUGGACGAAAGUCUGACCGAGCAACGCCGCGUGAGUGAAGAAGGUUGUCGGAUCGUAAAGCUCUGUUGUAAGAGAAGAACGGGUGUGAGAGUGGAAAGUUCACACUGUGACGGUAGCUUACCAGAAAGGGACGGCUAACUACGUG